This 495-nucleotide ribosomal RNA is filed under the name uncultured bacterium. RNAcentral's name for it is "partial 16S ribosomal RNA". It matches the Rfam family "Bacterial small subunit ribosomal RNA", at positions 28 to 505 of the family's 1533-position model. The record is from RNAcentral.
GAUGAACGCUGGCGGCGUGCCUAAUACAUGCAAGUCGAGCGAACGGACGAGAAGCUUGCUUUUCUGAUGUUAGCGGCGGACGGGUGAGUAACACGUGGAUAACCUACCUAUAAGACUGGGAUAACUUCGGGAAACCGGAGCUAAUACCGGAUAAUAUUUUGAACCGCAUGGUUCAAAAGUGAAAGACGGUCUUGCUGUCACUUAUAGAUGGAUCCGCGCUGCAUUAGCUAGUUGGUAAGGUAACGGCUUACCAAGGCAACGAUGCAUAGCCGACCUGAGAGGGUGACCGGCCACACUGGAACUGAGACACGGUCCAGACUCCUACGGGAGGCAGCAGUAGGGAAUCUUCCGCAAUGGGGGAAAGCCUGACGGAGCAACGCCGCGUGAGUGAUGAAGGUCUUCGGAUCGUAAAACUCUGUUAUUAGGGAAGAACAUAUGUGUAAGUAACUGUGCACAUCUUGACGGGACUUAAUCAGAAAGCCACGGCUAACUACG